Molecule: ribosomal RNA, 395 nt
Filed under: uncultured bacterium
Lineage: Bacteria
Description: bacterial SSU rRNA
Rfam family: Bacterial small subunit ribosomal RNA
Source: RNAcentral
GAUGAACGCUGGCGGAAUGCUUUACACAUGCAAGUCGAGCGGCAGCGCGGGGCAACCUGGCGGCGAGCGGCGAACGGGUGAGUAAUGCAUCGGAACGUACCCAGUCGUGGGGGAUAACUGUCCGAAAGGACAGCUAAUACCGCAUACGUCCUGAGGGAGAAAGCGGGGGAUCGCAAGACCUCGCGCGAUUGGAGCGGCCGAUGCCGGAUUAGCUAGUUGGUAGGGUAAAGGCCUACCAAGGCGACGAUCCGUAGCUGGUCUGAGAGGACGACCAGCCACACUGGAACUGAGACACGGUCCAGACUCCUACGGGAGGCAGCAGUGGGGAAUUUUGGACAAUGGGGGCAACCCUGAUCCAGCCAUUCCGCGUGAGUGAAGAAGGCCUCGGUUGUAAG